GACGAACGCUGGCGGCGUGCUUAACAUAUGCAAGUCGAACGGAAAGGCCCUGCUUGCAGGGUACUCGAGUGGCGAACGGGUGAGUAACACGUGGGUGAUCUGCCCUGCACUUCGGGAUAAGCCUGGGAAACUGGGUCUAAUACCGGAUAGGAGACAUUUUGAGUGUGAUGGUUGGAAAGUUUUUUCGGUUUAGGAUGAGCUUGCGGCCUAUCAGCUUGUUGGUGGGGUAAUGGCCUACCAAGGCGGCGGCGGGUAGCCGGACCGGGAGGGUGGACGGCCACAGCGGGACUGAGACUCGGCCCCGGCUCCUACGCGUAGGAGAGGUGGGGAAGAUUGAAAAAUGGGAGCAAGCCUGAUGCUGAGCCGCCGAGGCGGGGAUAACGAUCUUAGGGUUGUAGACUCAAUUCGCUAGGAACCAAGCUUUUUGUGACGGUACCUAGAUAAGAAGCACCGGCUAACUACGUG
Molecule: ribosomal RNA, 465 nt
Filed under: uncultured bacterium
Lineage: Bacteria
Description: partial 16S ribosomal RNA
Rfam family: Bacterial small subunit ribosomal RNA
Source: RNAcentral